CCUACGUGCGGCAGCAGUGAGGAAUAUUGGUCAAUGGGCGCGAGCCUGAACCAGCCAAGUAGCGUGAAGGAUGACUGCCCUACGGGUUGUAAACUUCUUUUAUAAAGGAAUAAAGUGAUGCACGUGUGCCUUUUUGUCUGUACUUUAUGAAUAAAGAUCGGCUAACUCCGUGCCAGCAGCCGCGGUAAGGCGGAGGAUCCGAGCGUUAUCUGGAUUUAUUGGGUUUAAAGGGAGCGUAGAGGGGUUGUUAAGUCAGUUGUGAAAGUUUGCGGCUCAACCGUAAAAUUGCACUUGAUACUGGCAGCCUUGAGUACAGAUGAGGUAGGCGGAAUUCGUGGUGUAGCGGUGAAAUGCUCAGAGAUCACGAAGAACUCCGAUUGCGAAGGCAGCCUACUAAACUGCCACUGACAUUGAUGCUCGAAAGUGUGGGUAUCAAACAGGAUUAGAUACCCGUGUAGUC
RNAcentral lists this ribosomal RNA (460 nucleotides) under uncultured bacterium. RNAcentral's name for it is "partial 16S ribosomal RNA". It matches the Rfam family "Bacterial small subunit ribosomal RNA", at positions 338 to 795 of the family's 1533-position model. The record is from RNAcentral.